UAUCACGUAUUUUUGUUAUAUAAUAAUACAAUCUUGAAUUCCAGACAAAGGCGUGUAAUAGUGCGUACCUACUGUAUGAAUAUCGAAACGAUAAACGUGAAUGCUUUAACAAGAUUAUAUUUUAUUAAGUACUACUCAUUCAAGUAUAACCAAUUAAAAGUUCUAUGACCUCAAGACGAUGUAUAUGUUUUAAACCUUUUUAUUUUAAAACUGGAAAGUCUCAAGUUUUUGAAAAUCAUUCGCAAGACGACAUUCAAAAGUUACUAAUAUCUACAACACUAUUGUAUUGUGUAGAUAUGAAUGAAGCGCUCGUGUUAGCUGCAUGCAAGUGUGUUUUAGACGUUUUAGUGUUGCGCUUGCAGUUAAUGAAUAUUUAUUUUUUACCCGUUGGCAUUCGAAACGUCGUAACCGUUUAUAGGCGAAUAGGACACAGGACGAGUUUAAUUUUAUUUAUUAUUAUUUAUUACGAUAGAAUAAUAAUUACGACGAAGGCAGCGGUGAGUAAUGAACAAUUUAAAAAUAUUUGUUUUCAAAUAUAUAUAUAUAUAUUAAUAUAUUUAGUAUAAUAACUAUGUUUUUAAUAUAAUCAUAAUAAAAUGACGAAUUAUUAAUAAACUUACAAUAAUAAAAAACAUAAUUAUUACAAAGACAAGUACACAUUAUAAAAAUAAAGGGCGCAAUUUGUACAAAAUAUUUUUUAUAUAGUAUUGUAUAAUAUAAAUUGAAUUAAUUAUUUUAUACAUACAUGUUUUAAAAAAACGCAAUAUAUAUGUGAACGGGACAAUGUGGAUUACCUAACUAAAAUGUAACGGUUGGGGUUUUAAUACAUAAUAAAUGCACAUAUUGUAUUGAUUGUGUUUUGAAUUAAAAUUCGGGUAGUUAAAUAUAUUUUUUUUUUUGAUUUUUGCACUUAAAUACGAAAACAUAUAAACAAAAACGUGUGUGUAUUGGUGAUAGGAAUGUCCAGCGGCAGUAUUAAAAGUAGCAAUUUGCGGUUGCAGCUGCUGCCACCGUCGCAUUGAUGUGUUAACCGUAACUGUUUACAAUUAAUCAUGGGAACAGGGAUAAAUUACACAGGGGAUUAGGGGAACGGACGGAACAGUCGAUCGAAUUCGAGUACGACGUCGAUUAAAAAAAAAAAGCGUAUAAAAAAAAGGAAACAAAAUAAUAUUACGUAUAAUAAUUAAAAAAAAAAAACGUAUUAAAUUGUGUGAGCACCUGUAUAUAAAUCC
Long non-coding RNA from Aphis gossypii (cotton aphid), 1232 nucleotides. RefSeq lists it as uncharacterized. NCBI's taxonomy places the organism in Eukaryota, Metazoa, Arthropoda, Insecta, Hemiptera, Aphididae. The record is from RefSeq and is a predicted model, not a curated record. The transcript has 2 exons.